This 375-nucleotide ribosomal RNA is filed under the name uncultured bacterium. Its description in RNAcentral is "bacterial SSU rRNA". It matches the Rfam family "Bacterial small subunit ribosomal RNA", at positions 524 to 898 of the family's 1533-position model. The record is from RNAcentral.
UACGAGGGGGGCAAGUGUUGUUCGGAAUCACUGGGCGUAAAGGGAGCGUAGGCGGGCUCUUAAGUUGGAUGUUUAAAACCGGGGCCCAACCCCGGCGUGGCAUCCAAAACUGGGAGUCUUGAAUGGAACAGAGGCUAGUGGAAUUGGAGGUGUAGCGGUGGAAUGCGUAGAGAUCUCCAAGAACACCCGUUGCGAAGGCGGCUAGCUGGGUUCACAUUGACGCUGAGGCUCGAAAGCGUGGGGAGCAAACAGGAUUAGAUACCCUGGUAGUCCACGCCGUAAACGAUGAACACUAGGUUUUGACCCCGUCAACGGGUCAGAGCCGCAGCUAACGCGUUAAGUGUUCCGCCUGGGGAGUGCGGUCGCAAGACUGAA